UGGGGAAUAUUGCACAAUGGGGGAAACCCUGAUGCAGCGACGCCGCGUGAACGAAGAAGGUAUUCGUAUCAUAAAGUUCUGUCCUAUGGGAAGAUAAUGACAGUACCAUAGAAGAAAGCUCCGGCUAAAUACGUGCCAGCAGCCGCGGUAAUACGUAUGGAGCGAGCGUUGUCCGGAAUUAUUGGGCGUAAAGGGUACGCAGGCGGUUUAAUAAGUCGAAUGUUAAAGAUCGGGGCUCAACCCCGCAAAGCAUUGGAAACUGAUAAACUGGAGUAGUGGAGAGGAAAGUGGAAUUCCUAGUGUAGUGGUGAAAUACGUAGAUAUUAGGAGGAAUACCAGUAGCGAAGGCGACUUUCUGGACACAAACUGACGCUGAGGUACGAAAGCGUGGGGAGCAAACAGG
This 403-nucleotide ribosomal RNA is filed under the name bacterium. RNAcentral describes it as "partial 16S ribosomal RNA". It matches the Rfam family "Bacterial small subunit ribosomal RNA", at positions 355 to 776 of the family's 1533-position model. The record is from RNAcentral.